Molecule: long non-coding RNA, 3185 nt
Organism: Spinacia oleracea (spinach)
Lineage: Eukaryota; Viridiplantae; Streptophyta; Magnoliopsida; Caryophyllales; Amaranthaceae
Exons: 2
Source: RefSeq, a predicted model, not a curated record
GAUUUCCAUUUGCAUUAAGUAUUGGUACAUGUCUACAUGAUGAUGAUGUAAACUUUGAUUUUCUUGGACUUUAUACAAACUUAUGUCAUGUUUAUGAUAGGUUAAACAUUCAAACUUCUAUUAUCCAUUUGUAAUUUAUAUUUUCUUUCUUAGUUUUAACUAUUUGAAUCAAAAGAAAAUGUUUAUUUUAUUUAUUUACCAAAAACUUUCUUGUUAGGUUUGGACAAGUAAUUUAAGCAACUUCAUUUUAAGCAAAGGAUUUGCAAACAUUUUUAUUAAUACUUCGGAAUCGUUCUCCUUCGCUUGAAUUUCACUUAUAUUAUUUUAUCUUAUUAGUCAUGAACUUAUCUUAUAUUAUUACCCUUUAUCGUAGCUUAUCUUAUUUUAUUUUAUAAUAUCAUAUUCUAUCUUAUCGAUCCUUAUUGAAAGUUAUAAAAAGAGUGUCUUUGAAACUUAGUGGCUCUUAUCUUACUUAUCUAAAUUUAGUGGCUCUUAUUUAUCAUAUCUUAUCUUAUUAACCCUGAACUUAUAUUAUCUUAUCUUAUUAGCCUUGCACUUAUAUUAUCUUAUUUUAUUAUCCCUUGUCGUAGCUUAUCUUAUUUUAUCUUAUCUUAUUGAUCUUUAUUGAAAGUUAUAAAAAACUUAUUGACUCUUAUCUUAUGUUAUCUGAAUUUAAUAGCCCUUAUUUUAUCCUAUCCUAUCUUAUUGACAAUUAAGCACAUUAAUAAUUGAAGAAAUGCUUUGUGAGAAACAUGGGAAUAAAUGUAUCACAUCUAAAAAUUAAUGGAAGAGACAUAAUACACAUUGAGAAUUUAAAUUUCACAUUGAUAGUGGGUUAUCUUCGCCUUAAAAUAAAAUUUAGUAAGUUAAGAUAAGUUGUAAUGAGGUUUUAUCAGGUCAAUACGUUUUGAUCAAUAUAAUUUCCAAUAAGGAGUUCAAUUUUUCAAAUCUAUACUAUAUAUUUAAAGACGUUUCUAAAUAAGUGCACGUGAUAUGUGGCUGCUUAUUAGUCAUUCACUUUAUGUCAUUUUCACAUAUAUUGAAAAAACGGGAAAUAUGGUUUGUAUAAGGUUUGACCCCCAAACUUGUAUUUAAACACUAAAAUGCUUUACCACUAAGACAUGACAUGUUUCAUGUUAUCAUUGCGAAAAUAAAUAUGAAGUAUAAAUAAAUGCAAAUGUUAUUAAUGUAGUAAUCUGAGGCAUUGCCCGGGCCCAAAAAUCAGUUUACUCUCUUACAACCAAGUCUUACCAGGUCCCCAAAGUUACAAUCAGAUACGAUCAGGCCAUAUCACGUUCAAUUAGUUAAAAUAAGUUCAAGUUUAAUCCAGCGAAUAGAAGUGAAAGCCCCUCAUAAAAUUAUAACUUUUACUUUUGAUGUACAGUAUUUAUUGUACACCACUUAUAAAUAAAUAAGAAUUUGGGUAAAAUUACAACAUUCACUUCACAAGGGUAGUUACGUCUUUUCGACACGAAGUAUUUUAGAUGUCAUAAAAUAAGGGGCCGUUUGGUUGGGGUUAAUAAUCAAAGGGAAAGGGAAUGAGUUGAUAUCAUUCCCUUUGUUGUUGUUUGUUAUGUGUAUUUUAUCAUUCCCUUUACCCCUUUUUAUUUUUGAGUUAACCCCUAAACCCUCUACACUCAUUCCCCACCCCCCCUAGACUUUCCCAUUCCCUUUCCCCCCAUCACCUCCCAAGAACAUUGACCACCAUUAUCAACGAGCUUGACCAAAUUUUAUGUCACCGCAAAACUACCAGACCCACUACCAAAACCACCAACAGCGGGUUCCACCACCCUACCUGCCACCACAAACACCGCAAAAAACCACCGGAAACUACCCACACCGCAAAAAAAGACCAUAAACUACUGGAAACCACCCUAACAAAUGUUCGAAACCAUUAUUAACCACCAAAAUCAUCGGAAAAUCACCCAAACAACCAACUCGAAGCCACCCUAACAACCAAUCGAAACAAUUAUUAACCACCACAACCCCAAAAAUUUCGAUAUAAAAUAAGAGAAUGAAAAAAUACCUUUUUCGAAUUUAUAAUUAGGGCUUUAAAUGGUCAAAUUCGACCAAAAAAACUCAAGAUCUGAAGUUUUUAGAGUCGAAUUUAAUAUUCAAAGCAUCAAACUUGUCUCUUUAUGGUCGGAAAAAGUGGGGCGACGACAGUGAGGGAAGGGGCGGCGAUAAUGAGGGGAGGGGCGACGACAAUUAGGGGAGGGGUGCGCGGCGACGGCGACAAUAAGGAGAGGGAAGCGUGGCGGCGGCGCAAUGAUUGAAGGGGCGGCAAUGAUUGGAGGGGAGGGGGGCCGGUGGUGUAGAGGCCAACAACCACGUCAAAUAAAGAUAUGGAGGAAGAGACAUAACACAAUUAUAGUACCCAAACACUUUUCUAUAUCAAAGGGUUUAAUUCCUUUCUCUUCCAUUCUCUUUGUUGAUUCCAUUCCCUUUACCCUUUACGAACCAAACGCCCCCUAAGAGUUAAGAGUUAUAUCUCGAGUGCAAUUCGAUCGGAUUACGGAGAUUACUCGAUCUCCCUAUAAAACCCUAACUUCAAUACAAACCCCAUGGCUUUGAUAUCCACCAUUGCUCCGAUCAAACUCUAACGUCCGUCAAAAUAGUCCGUUUAAUCAUGCUUCCACCAUUCCAAUGGAGACCUACGCAACCAGCUCUGCUUCCGCACCGGCUUUUCGUAAACUCAACGUAUGAGGUUGGUGAGUCAAGCACACAAGCCGCCCCGCCUCCGCCUUCCUUCACCGCCACCGCUACCUCCACCUCCACCUCCGACGCUUCCACCUCCGCCACCGCUUCCGUUGCAAGCACAACUACUUCACCAAAUUUCACGUCCGCCGCAGUCGCGAAGUCGUCCGAGGGACAAUGAGGCUGAGAAGAGUACGUGUGUUGAAGGCGAUUUGAAGAGGUUUCGAAGGUCAGAGGUACGAGCUUAAUUAGUUUGGGGAAAAAAAAUUAGUACUCCGUAGUUUAAUUAAUUUAUACAAUUAGAUGAAUUAAAUUUAGUUGUUGAUUUAGCAGCUUAAUUAGGUUUAGCAGGCAAUAUCGGAUUAAUUUGAUACAAUUCGAUGAAUUAAAUUUAGUUAUUGAUUAGCAGCUUAGAUUUAGCAAACAAUAUCGGUUUAGUUUGAUACAAUUCGAUGAAAUAAAUUUAGUUAUUGAUUUAUUGCAGCAAA